This 253-nucleotide ribosomal RNA is filed under the name uncultured bacterium. RNAcentral describes it as "partial 16S ribosomal RNA". It matches the Rfam family "Bacterial small subunit ribosomal RNA", at positions 524 to 776 of the family's 1533-position model. The record is from RNAcentral.
UACGUAGGGGGCGAGCGUUAUCCGGAUUCACUGGGUGUAAAGGGAGCGUAGACGGCCAAGCAAGCCGGGGGUGAAAGCCCGGGGCCCAACCCCGGGACUGCCCUUGGAACUGCAUGGCUGGAGUGCGGGAGGGGCAGGCGGAAUUCCUGGUGUAGCGGUGAAAUGCGUAGAUAUCAGGAGGAACACCGGCGGCGAAGGCGGCCUGCUGGAUCGCGACUGACGUUGAGGCUCGAAAGCGUGGGGAGCGAACAGG